CUUUGUAACGAAUUUUGACUGAAUAUCACAUCUAUAUUUGAAUACAAACUGUUCUUUUAUAGAAAUUUACAAAACCAGAGUUUUCUUAGAGUCACGCCAUGUUCAAUUACCCACGCAUGCGCGAACUAAUGUCCUAUAAAUUAACAUAAAUUAAGUCGGAAGUUCGUACAGAGCUCGAAUACUGCCAUGUUGUUUUCGUGGAUAUCGUCUCUGUUUAUAGUCAUCACAACAUUUUUAUUUUGUUUCGAAACCACUGAAAUGGGGUAUAAAAUACUGUGCAAGAACAAUGGUACAGUGCCCGCGGAUCGCGCUGCCAACUGUGAACAAAAUUUAGAAUGGUUUAUUGUAGAUUGCCUAAUAACUGCUUGGUUUCUACUGGAGUAUGUGGCGGGGCUGUUGACCACACAACACAGGCUCAAGUUUGUGUUUUCUUUCUUGGGGAUCAUUGACUUCCUUUCGAUCGUUCCAUUCUUUGGGAUUUUACUUCUAAAACUAGACGACGGUG
Molecule: non-coding RNA, 505 nt
Organism: Paramuricea clavata
Lineage: Eukaryota; Metazoa; Cnidaria; Anthozoa; Malacalcyonacea; Plexauridae
Source: the annotation of a GenBank genome assembly